RNA transcript from Lagopus muta (rock ptarmigan), 9173 nucleotides. It is a transcript of the gene named AGBL carboxypeptidase 1, with no coding region annotated. The transcript is spliced from 33 exons. NCBI's taxonomy places the organism in Eukaryota, Metazoa, Chordata, Aves, Galliformes, Phasianidae. The record is from RefSeq and is a predicted model, not a curated record.
AAUCCACGCAGGGUCUGGAACGGAUCAGCUGGGAAUGCCUGUCAGGCCUGUCAGGCAGCCAGUGAGCUCCCUCCCUUCUCGCUGGCUUUCUUUGAGCACAGGGGCAGCAGCCAGGCACGCUUUCUGGCUGCAUUGUUUGCUGCUAGCGAGAGAGAUUGUGAGUGGGGAGCAGCAUGGCAGAACAAGAAGCCAGUGGCUUGAAAGUCCUUCUUUCCACCCUCCAGAGCUCCUGUGACAAGGAUGUCCUCCUGAACAUCCUCAGUGUCCUCACUGACCUGCUGUCUUUGGGGACUGGACGAAGAAUUCACUAUGUGAUCAGCAAAGGGGGUAGUGAGGCACUGCUGCAGGCCCUCAUCUCUGCUGCCCGGACCGAGCCACCCGACCCCAGCAUCCUCCUGCCUCUGCUUCGCCUCCUGGCCAGGGUUGGCCAACAAGACGGGAAGUUUGGGAUUAAAGUGCAGAAAGCGGAAGCAACUGAUGUAAUUCUGAGCUUGACGAGGCAAAACCUGGGUCACCACCUGAACCUCACCCACUGCCUCUGGGUCCUGCGGGUUUGUGCUUCUAAUGUUGCUGCAGGAACCACGCUUGGCAUCAAUGGAGCCAUGGAGCUGCUUUUCAAAGUCAUCACUCCCUACAGCAAGCAGCACAUCAGGACUGUAAGGGCAGCCAUUGAGGCUCUGGCAGCAUUGCUGAAAUCAAAAUCUAACAGCCGACAAGCAGUGAACAGAGGUUAUCUGGGUGGAUUGCUGAGGCUCUAUCAAGACUGGCAUCACAACGAUGUCUCCAACAACUACAUUUAUAUUCGUAGAGGUCUCCUGCUCUGCCUAAAGCACAUCACCAACAUCCAGCUGGGCAGGGAGACUUUCCUUGGUUCUCGAGGUAUGGAGAUUCUCUUCACAAGUGUGCAGGACUGUUUAUCUUGCAAGAAUCUGGAUCCAAUUGUAACCACUGUGACUCAGAUUCUACGGAAGUGCUACCCCAAGGAGCCUCUGCCUCUGGUGACAGUGAGAAGUUGCUAUUCCUUCCCUCUUCCUGGGAACAUCAAGACUGAAUGUCCAUGUAUGGGAUCUGAAGAUGAUAAUGAAAGUGAUAGUGAGGAAGACUCGGAAAAAGACCUGAAUAAAGAUGAUGUGGAGGGUAAAGAGGAAGAUUAUGAUUUGGAGACAGAUGUAAACAAAUUGAGGUCAAGGCCAGGGCUUGACCGGCCAGAGGAAGAGCUUGGGCAAUAUGAAGCUAUGUGUCCAGAACUUUCCCGUAAUUUUCAGGAGCUUGAUUCAGAGUCCGAAGAAGAGAAAAAGUCAGAAGACAGGACUGAGAAUCUUCCCUCCACUUCAUCUCAUUUCAUUCCAAGUGGUAAUUCUGUGAAAGAUCCAAACCAUAGAUGGAGGACCCAAAGUGACACACAGGCAGAAUCAGAUCCACGGGAGAAGGAUUUCAAAGCUUCACUGCAGAGUUCAAUAAAGAAGGAGAAAUGCUCAAGGAGUCUGCUCAGUGAAAAGAGAGAGAUUGCUGAAACAGUCCAAAAUGCAAAUUCCUAUGAAGAAGAGCCAGCCAAGAGUCAUACAUUUUCUCCAUGUCCCCUCCCCAAAGAAGCUGCUUGGUACAAAAAAAUAUUUAACCCUGAGUGUGAGGCUUCAAUUGAUCCAACUUCUGGAGUCAGAUCAGAGACCGCAGAAAUAAUGACAGACCUUCUGGAGGAACACCAAGGGAAUAUUCCAUUCCACAGCCCUCACUUCUACGUAGCCAGGGCCAAAUGUACCAAGUCCAUACCAGCCUACAGAGACUUGGCAUUCCCUGAUUUCUGGGGCCACCAGCCUCCUGCUUAUGGCACGCCCAUGCUGGAUCGGCAGUAUGGAGUUCAAAGGGACAAAGUACUUGAUGAUGUUCGUCGCUUAAUCCAGCCUGGUGAUUUGAUUGGAAGAACUGUUUUUGAUUUAGAUGAGCCCAGUCACUCAAGCCCAGGUGCUCCAAGCUGUCUGACAUUCUUCUCCAAGUUUGAAUCGGGUAACCUUCGCAAAGCCAUCCAAGUGCGUGAGUUUGAGUAUGAUUUAAUUAUGAAUGCAGAUGUGAACACCAACCAGCAUCACCAGUGGUUCUACUUUCAAGUCCGUGGCAUGAAAUCAGCAGUUCCCUAUCGCUUCAACGUUAUCAACUGUGAGAAGCUCAAUAGCCAGUUUAAUUACGGCAUGCAGCUGGUUCUGUAUUCGGUGAAGGAAGCUCUCCAGGGCAGGCCUCGCUGGCUUCGAGCAGGACAUGAUAUCAGCUACUACAAAAACCACUACCGCUGCAGUGCAGCUCCAGGAGGAGGCUCAAGAGGAAAAUGCUAUUACACUCUCACCUUCAGCAUCAAGUUCCCUCACGAAGAUGAUGUCUGCUAUCUGGCCUACCAUUACCCCUACACGUACUCCGCAAUGAUGUCCCAUCUUGAUGUCCUGGAGCAAAGCAGGAACCCCAAGAAGGUCUACUGGAGGCAACAAGCGCUUUGCCAGACACUAGGAGGAAAUACAUGCCCAUUGCUCACAAUCACUGCUAUGCCAGAAUCUAAAACAAGUGACGACUUGGAACAAUUCUACAGUCGUCCUUAUGUCUUUCUGAUGGCCCGUGUUCACCCCGGUGAAAGCAACGCCAGCUGGGUAAUGAAGGGGACCCUGGAGUUCCUUGUGAGCAGUGAUCCCAUUGCUGAUCUCCUGAGGAAAUGUUUCAUUUUCAAGAUUGUCCCCAUGCUCAACCCUGAUGGAGUCAUCAAUGGCAACCACCGUUGUUCCUUGAGUGGAGAUGAUCUGAACAGACAGUGGCUGACACCCAGUUCUCAGCUUCAUCCAACAAUUUACCACACCAAAGGUCUUCUGUAUUAUCUGCGCAGCAUCGGCCGGGCCCCUCUGGUAUUCUGUGACUACCAUGGCCACUCCCAGAAAAAGAAUGUGUUCCUCUAUGGUUGCAGCAUCAAGGAGACUUUGUGGCAAGCAGGCUGCACGGUUGACACAGCAGUUAUCACAGAAGAUGUUGGCUACAGGACUCUUCCUAAAAUCCUGGACAAAGUGGCCCCUGCGUUUGUCAUGAACAGCUGCAGCUUCCUUGUAGAAAAGUCCCGCAAGUCGACGGCCCGGGUGGUGGUGUGGCAGGAAAUGGGUGUGCUGAGGAGCUACACCAUGGAGAGCACGUACUGCGGCUGCAGCCACGGCCUCUACAAAGGCUUGCAACUGGGAACUCAAGAGCUGGAGGAGAUGGGAAGCAAGUUUUGCCUUGCUCUGCUCAUUCUGCACCUCAAAUCCUUGCCCUGCAGCAAGAAGGUGAUGGCUCAGGCAGCACUACUCCUAGAUCUGGAGGAAGAAAUAACAAUAACAGACCGGGCACAAAGGUGCAGCCCAGACAACACUGAAACCCUGGAAAUCUGCUGGCAGUGACUAAUGUUCAUCUCCUUCCCCCUCUGUGCUGUGGUCCUGUUUACCCAAGGUGCAGAUGAUUACCUGGUUUUACCUACAGUACUCAAGCAAAAUGAUUCUGCACUUUGGAAGGACACCUGGCUGCUCACCUCAGCACAUCCUGAUGCUGCUGCUUAUCAGGAAAAAAAAAACCAGCUCAAUUCUGCCAAGGCUUCCAUCGCAGACAUGAAGAAAUCUGGAAAGCCACCUCCACGCCCUGAUGUAGCACUACAGCAGAGCCCUGGAGUGGCAGCUGUGAAAUGCAGAACAGCCAGACAAAGCUGGUAACAUGUUUGUACAGCCCGGGGUGUCAGGAGGAAUCAGCUCCACGGAGCAGACAAGGAGACCGAGAAGUGAAGUUUUAGGUUCUCUCCUUGGUUUGCUACAUUGCAAAGCAAGCUGUCCUCAAGUCCUCUGGGAAGUCUCUGCACAACAAUUAUCCCUCUCUUCGAGUCUGAAACGGAAUUACUGCACAGGAAUCUGGCGAGGUUCAGAGAAACACUGAAAGGUUCUCGCAUUAGAGACUUCAAAGUGUGACCCUGUGAAUGCCAGAGGCCAGCUAGCACCUUCCUCCAGAAGCACGGUGGGGCACAACGCUGUGCUUGGGAAGAUGCUUUCCUUUGAAAUAAGGCUGAGCUACAAGGAAAACUGCCUGCAGAAGAGCUUUGCUGAAUUUAAGUGCGCAGAGCUCUGGGGCAGAUGAUGGAGUGGUGUUCUCACCCUGGCCUGGAGAGGAACCUGUCUGUGAAGAGCACUAGAGACAAUUUCUCUAUUACAUAACCCGGCCUCAACUCCACUGAAGCUGUUAACAAAGGGCUAACAGCACGGUUUUGUGAUGUGAUUCCUUUCCAAUUGCGGCUGGAUCCAGAGAAGGUGUUUUAAAGCUGCUGCACAGAGGUACUGAUCUUGCUGUACAUGGAGGAGUCCCCUGGUGUAACGCCAUCUCUCUGUUACUGUCUGUGAUGAACUCGUAAAACAAGGUGUGUUUGGAGGGUACAUGGUGACACUUAACACUUGUACAUUCUUGCUUCUCUUCUGUGGGAUUAGAUCUGCUAUGAGCAUGCAGAGCUGGACAGGCUGCAAGCUUAGGGCCUUUCCUGCUCCAGCUGAAUUACACUGAUGAUUUCUCAUUAAUUCUCAACUCAGGGCUUACAGAUUUUGUCACCAUACGAGAAGCAGGGUCACAGACACAUGGUAUCAAACACAGGCUCCUUCCUCACCUGCUGACCAGAAGGACUCAGCAAUAGUUUAGAACUAAGUUGAACUGAGUGCAGUAGAAGAAUAAAAUUUGUUCCCACAGAAAUGCGAGUGUUUUUUCCCAAAAGCACGGAACAUAAUUAAUGGACGUGACUUCUGCACCAAAAAAAGUCAUAUUGACCUAGGAGGGGAAAAUUCUCCUUCCCAUGAUCUCCACUUUCUCAAGACUGACUCAAUCAUCUCUGUUCAAGAGGAUGAAGAGAAGAAUUUGGUGAUAUAUGGAAAUGGCUGAGUCACGGCCUGAACUACUGAUUGAGCACCUGGGGAAAGGACCCGGUCAGCUCUGGAAGCACAGGUGAAGGCAAUUCAGCUGUGUGAUCAGAAGGGGUGGAGCCUGGUUGCACCUCUCUUAGACCUCAUUGAAGUGCUGACCCCCACUGCAGAAGGAUCUCUGGUUGGAGAUCUCCUCCUUGUGCUUUUUCCCUGCGACCAUAGAGAGAUGUUGAAAGCUUCUGGAUGACAGAGCAGGAGAAGCCCUUAUGUUGCAAGGACUCGGUGACCACAAGGGGACCAAAGAUCUCUUCUAGCAAAAACAACAACAACAAAAAAGCCCAAAUUCAGGAGGCAGAAUCCACUGAAGAUGCUGGAAAGCUGCAUAGCUGAAACUGUGAAUGAAAGAGAAGACUGUUUACCAGGCAAUAGGGAAACUCCCAGCACAUGUUCUCAGAAUCACCUGUCUGCAAUUCAGCACCCCAUGGACACAGGCGCAGGCUUGAGAUGAGGCAGUGCAGGCUCUUUUCUGACCCCACAAUGUAUGCAUCAGGGGACAUUUAGAGGACCAAAUGGUAAGUUUUGAGGGAGACAGGAUGGGCUUCUAGUCUGGCAGAUCGUUGCAUGUCUUCCCUUAGCUAUGCUUUAGCUUUUGUCUCUCAACCUGAUAGAUUACGGUGGAAGGAAAACUGUUUUGAAGAAACGAGACAGGUCACAGAUGAGCCCCUAAGACUGGAGACACAUGCACUGCCCACUGUUUGCAGCCCUGGCAUGAGAUUGCCAUCUGUACCAUAUAGCACCUUAACCACCAAGAAGGCAUUGUGUCAGUGAUACCCAUAGAUGACAGAGUUGGUGCUUGAAAGCAGGAUGCUGCUGGGCUGGGGAAGACUCCGUGGCCCCUUCUUAGCAGUGCCCAAACAAACACUGCUCCCAUCUCCUUUUCAACAACCCCCUCCAGAAAGUUGCUGGCAAUAAGGUCUGGUUUGCCCUGGACCUGGGUGAGACCUGUAUGUGUUACCAGCUCUCCCCUCGUGGCAGACAAGGUUGUAGGAAGUAUCUCUCUUCAAAAUGGAGACUGUGAACUCAUUUCUCUUUGCCUCCACAUACUUCCCACACUUAGAUUGUGGCAUUCGGUGAGGGUUUCCCUCCAAAUCUGCUCUUCUUCCUCCCUCCACUUGCAGUGGAGCAGUGGCAGAGCCCCCACAGGAGCCCCUCUUCCUGCAGGAAAGGUACUGUCAUCCAUGCUGAUCAGCAGCUCCACUUUUGCUCCAGGGAAAGUCCUUCUUGAAAUGAGGUCUCAAGGUUCACCAGGAACUCAGCACGGACGCUUUCCCUCUUCCCAUCCAAAAUUGUCAGACCAAAAAGGGAUGCAGCAGUUUCAGUCAUGUCUCCAAAACAAAAACGAGCCUUCCCUCCCUCCCCACCAAUAAACCUCCAUCCAGCAGCACCAGCCCACUGGGCAUAACGCAGCAGCUGCUGGGAGCCAGCUCUGCAGCACUUCUUAUUCUACUCUUCUAAGCAAUUGUUCCCGAUUAGCUCUGACAAAAAGACCUUUUGUCAAAGCAGUCAUUGCACUUGGUGGGGCUAGGUAAAGCAGUCAGACAGCCUGAACCUUGGUCUCAGCCAUUUCACAUCUUCUGGUGGCCCAUCUCCUUGCCUCUCAUUGACCAUUUAUUCCUAACCACGUUGCACCAAAUCCAGGUGUGAUGCUCGGCUCCUGAGCUCACCUCGAUGUCAGGACAGUACAAAGAGCUGGCAAAGGGACGUGUAGUGGUGUUGAGGAGGACACAAGGAGGAAAGGAGGAGGGAAAGGAGAAUAUAGCUGUUGUGCAGAAUAGUUAUAAGGGAAUAAGCAUUGACUAUGGAAACACAGUGACUGUAGGUAAUCUGCCUGUGUAAAGGCCAGCGAAAUUGGCUGAAAGAGAAAUGAGAGCAUAAGAGCAAGAGGGGAGGGUGGACAAAACAGUGGUUUUGCACAAUCUGGCACUGUGCCUGAGAGCCACAAGAGCAAGAGACCAUUUGGGGUAUGGGGCAGGCAGCCCCAGAGAAGAGCUUUCUUUUGGAGGCACUGGGCUAGUACCACCAUCACGUAUUUUUCCCUGGAUAGUCUCCAGUCCUUUUAGCCAAAGCAGCCUACACACAAAAAGAGCCAUUUCAGAUCUGGCAACUUUUCGACUAAUCUUUCUCACUUCAAAGAUGAACCUAAGUUGUAGAUGAGGAAAACUAGAUAUCCUCUCCCAACAGAGCGAGUACCUGCUACGGAGGGGUGGCAUGGCACCUUGUUUGUGUGUGUGGACUGCCAUUUCACACCCUGACCCUGACCCUGACCAUACCACCUUUGGUGCCCAUGCUGUGAGCUGCUGGUGUCUGUCCAGUGGCAGUCUGUCCAGCCUCUGCUGCAUGAGACUGGCUCUCUGUGAUUUAACAGAAAGGGGAAGGUUGCACGUUUUUACUGCCACCCAUCCUCUCUCACUCUGAGCUUGAGGUGCUCUUUGCACAAGCACAGUCUAAACCCACAGCCUCCACAAACCCUGUAGCAGCGUCCCCUGCCCCACUUGAAACCUUAAGCGAGGUCAUGCCAGAGCCAGGGGUAGGAGGUAGAGAUUGGCAGGAGACAGAGAGGUUGAGGAGGGAUGCAAAAUCUUCCCUUUCAGUAGCCAGCUGUAAUAAGGUCUCAGGCUCACGCAUCUUCUCUUGCAUCCUGGCCCUGAACACUGCUCUGGCCAUGGGGAAGGAGUCAAGAUCCCAUCUCCAUCGCCUCCUCCCCUGUCUGCAUUCCCUUUCAGAUGAGAACCACAUUGGAGCAGGUUAUUUUUGUGCUGGCAAUUGUCGCCUUCUCAAUUGCCUUCACGGUGCCUGUGGCGCCUGCUCACUGCCUCCUGAGAGCAUCUGCCAGGCUGAGGUUCCCCCUCAGCCUCCACUAUUUAGAGGAAAAAAACAACCCAAGGAAGGUUUUGUUUUCUCAGCCCGGCCUGGAUGGGCAAGAUUCAUUUCUGACUCAGUCUUUCCCCGGGUCAGGAUAAUAUCCUGCAUGAAGAAGAUGGGUUUUAGGGAGGAUGCUUCAGCCUCUCCAUGGCUGUCCCCAGCACCCCCUGUCGCUGCCUGUCAGGCCUUUAUCCUCAUUGAGAUGCAAGGCUGGCUGCUGCAGCCAUCCGCUGAGCUGUCUGCUCCUGGAGGCACCUUCCCCUCAUUCCCCUCCUCCUCCCGGGGCUGCCUGUGGAGCUAUUCUUCAGCCUCUGCAUUUCACAACAGCUCAAAGGCAGAUGCAUCAAUCCUUUCAGGGGAUGGGGACGUGAGGAGAAUUGCAAGGGGUCUGCAGGCAGGUGUUGGGAGGUUCCCAGCCAUCUCGCUAGCCUUGUCCCCUUCCCUGGCCUCAAGCUGGCUUGUGCCUAAGGCUUGGACUAAGGCAUGGGGCAGGGAUGGGGAAGGGAAGAGGAUGAGGAGGGAGGGCACUGGGAUAUGCUGACCCCAAAGGCGUGCCCAGCUGUGAUGCGGGCACUCUUCCAGCUACAUGCUGCAGCCUUCCCUCAAACAGGGAACAGGGGAUGCAACCCUAUCUGCUGAGGGUUUGCACUAAUUUGGCUGUGGCUUGGUAACAAUCCCAUGGCCCCACAAAAAUGAAGGGUGGGGAGAAAAGGCAGGGAUGGGGGGUUAAGGGGUUCCUCCCAACUUCACCAUCUCCACUGGGCAGUGAGACGAACGGCACUCCUGUCUUGCAUGCCACAAUGGGUUGGGAUGAAUCAGGAAUGGGUCUCCAGGACCCCCCUCAGCAGGGGGGAGGGGUUCAGUUCCACUGUAGAGGGAGGAGGGAGGGCUGGGCCCAUCCGAUGCGCUGGCUGCGGGUGGGCAGCUGGUUCCCGGUGUGUUAUACCCGUAGGUGCCACAAUCCUUUGACUGUGUGUUUGAAAGCCUUGAGUCUAUACAGUUAAGAAUCAGCAAAUUAGAAAAAUUGUCCUGAAAUGUCGAAGGGGAAGAAAAAGGCAGAGAGGGACAGGGAAGGAUGGAGAGGGAAGAAAAGUCUGGUAAAAGAGAAUUUGUUCAGGGGCACUGCCCUGUCUUUGUGCCCAUCACCUGUGGGCUGGGAAGAAGGAAGGGAGGCAAGGACAAGAAGGGAGGACUGAUUUCACACAUUCAGUGCAUAUCAUAUCAUACAACCGGGGCAGGGCUUUCCUCCCAGAGCACCAACUCAGGCUAACACUGCUGCCAUAGCCAGACUCGAGCCCUGCCCAGCAGCCCGAGCCAUACUCACAGCAGGAUGACAACUCACUGCUUCAUUGCUCGGGG